GCCGAAAUAGCUCAGUUGGGAGAGCGUCAGACUAAAGAUCUGAAGGUCCCUGGUUCAAUCCGGAGAGUUUGUA
Nematostella vectensis (starlet sea anemone) is the source of this 73-nucleotide non-coding RNA. The record is from Rfam. NCBI's taxonomy places the organism in Eukaryota, Metazoa, Cnidaria, Anthozoa, Actiniaria, Edwardsiidae.